CCCUGCCUUUUGUACACACCGCCCGUCGCUGCUACCGAUUGGAUGAUCCGGUGAAAUCUUCGGAUAAUAAUAAAUACUUUACUUUGUAAAGUUUAUUGUUAGAAGUUGAUUAAACCUUAUCAUCUAGAGGAAGCAAAAGUCGUAACAAGG
RNAcentral lists this ribosomal RNA (150 nucleotides) under uncultured eukaryote. RNAcentral's name for it is "partial small subunit ribosomal RNA". It matches the Rfam family "Eukaryotic small subunit ribosomal RNA", at positions 1651 to 1799 of the family's 1831-position model. The record is from RNAcentral.